ACGUAGGUGGCAAGCGUUGUCCGGAAUUAUUGGGCGUAAAGGGAGCGCAGGUGGGAAUGUAAGUCAGUCUUAAAAGUGCGAGGCUCAACCUCGUGAUGGGACAGAAACUACAUUUCUUGAGUGCAGGAGAGGAAAGUGGAAUUCCUAGUGUAGCGGUGAAAUGCGUAGAUAUUAGGAGGAGCACCAGUGGCGAAGGCGACUUUCUGGACUGUAACUGACACUGAGGCUCGAAAGCUAGGGGAGCGAACGG
RNAcentral lists this ribosomal RNA (250 nucleotides) under uncultured prokaryote. RNAcentral's name for it is "partial 16S rRNA". It matches the Rfam family "Bacterial small subunit ribosomal RNA", at positions 525 to 775 of the family's 1533-position model. The record is from RNAcentral.